GCAGUUAACGCAAUAAGUGCUCCGCCUGGGGAGUACGUUCGCAAGAAUGAAACUCAAAGGAAUUGACGGGGACCCGCACAAGCAGCGGAGCAUGUGGUUUAAUUCGAAGCAACGCGAAGAACCUUACCAGGACUUGACAUCUCCUUGACCGGUCCUUAAACGGACCUUUCUUCGGACAAGGAAGACAGGUGGUGCAUGGUUGUCGUCAGCUCGUGUCGUGAGAUGUUGGGUUAAGUCCCGCAACGAGCGCAACCCUUGUCAUUAGUUGCCAGCAGUAAGAUGGGCACUCUAGUGAGACUGCCGGGGAUAACUCGGAGGAAGGUGGGGAUGACGUCAAAUCAUCAUGCCCCUUAUGUUCUGGGCUACACACGUGCUACAAUGGUCGGUACAAAGAGCAAGCGAGACCGCGAGGUGGAGCGAAUCUCAAAAACCGAUCCCAGUUCGGAUUGCAGGCUGCAACUCGCCUGCAUGAAGUCGGAGUUGCUAGUAAUCGUGGAUCAGAAUGCCACGGUGAAUGCGUCCCCGGGUCUUGUACACACCGCCCGUC
RNAcentral lists this ribosomal RNA (547 nucleotides) under uncultured bacterium. RNAcentral's name for it is "bacterial SSU rRNA". It matches the Rfam family "Bacterial small subunit ribosomal RNA", at positions 848 to 1398 of the family's 1533-position model. The record is from RNAcentral.